This 250-nucleotide ribosomal RNA is filed under the name uncultured bacterium. RNAcentral's name for it is "partial 16S ribosomal RNA". It matches the Rfam family "Bacterial small subunit ribosomal RNA", at positions 525 to 775 of the family's 1533-position model. The record is from RNAcentral.
ACGUAGGUCCCGAGCGUUGUCCGGAUUUAUUGGGCGUAAAGGGAGCGCAGGCGGUUUAGUAAGUCUGAAGUUAAAGGCAUUGGCUCAACCAAUGUAUGCUUUGGAAACUGUUAGACUUGAGUGCAGAAGGGGAGAGUGGAAUUCCAUGUGUAGCGGUGAAAUGCGUAGAUAUAUGGAGGAACACCGGUGGCGAAAGCGGCUCUCUGGUCUGUAACUGACGCUGAGGCUCGAAAGCGUGGGGAGCAAACAG